AGGGGAGGGAAGCAAUCUCGUGGCCCUGGCGCUUCCUGAAGUCGCUGCAGCCCUGGGACCAUCGCCCCCCCAUCCCACAGGAUUUCCCAUUGCCAACUUGGGCUGGCUGUGAAGAAGAGGAAGAUGCCCCUGGACACCCAGGCAGAGCAGGAGCUGAGGAUGGAGAGCAGGGAGGACAAAUCCCCAUGGCAGAACCUCGUGGAAGAGGCUGAUAUGGGCGGCUCCAGGGCACAGGAACCCAACGGGGAGGAAAAGCCCCAGAGAUGUCGCACGAGGAGGGGCUGCAAACGCAGAUCGCGGGGAUCUGAGUAGGAAAGACCCAGCCUGGGCCGGGAAGGCAGCCAGUGGUUGAGCCAGAGCUCGGAGCUGGUGGUCCAUGGGCCGCUCCAUGAUGGGGAGAAGCCCCACAAGUGCAUGGAGUGUAGGAAGAGCUUCAGGUGGAGCUCCGGCCUGAUCGUGUACCAGAGGACCCACACCAGGGAACGGCCCUAUUAGUGUGAUCAAUGCAGGAAGCGGUUUCAGACAGCUCCAGUCUCCUUAUGCACCAGCGUAUGCACACAGAAGACAGGCCCUUCUUCUGCCCUGACUGCAGGCAGGGUUUCAGGCAGAACGCCCAUCUUUUCAUGCACCAACGCAUCCACACUGGGGAGAGGCCCCAUGAGUGUGAGGAAUGUGGGAAGAGCUUCAGCCAGAGCUCCGCCCUGAUCCAGCCACCAGAGGACCCACACUGGGGAGAGGCCCUACGAAUUUUCCGAAUGUGGGAUGGGGUUUCGGGUCGGCUUCAGUGUCUUCCAGUGUGAAAGGGGUUAACAGCGGGCCUGUUAGCUAAAGGAGCGAGAAGAAGCUGAUAAGGAGCUCUCUCCAAGGCUGUAACCAAGGGUCUCGGGAUCUCCUCUGGUCUGGUCUGGUUGGGAAGAUCCUGAGGUGUGUCUCUGUUAAAAGUCUCUUUUCCCCAACCCAGCAGCCGAAGAAGGAGUCGAGAAGUCUUCGGUUCACGUUCUCAAGGUUGUUUAUUAUAUUUUAUCUAAAACAUUUUCUGUCUGGCCUGCCAAGGUCUGUUCCGCAGGUCGGUCUGAGGCACACACUCCUCCUCUCGGGCUGGUGCUAUCUUUUAUACUAAAAACUACGUAUACUAUGUUUACAAUAAUGUUCCAAUACCUAUCACCUAUGUUAGACAGUGACUUUCUACUCUAAACCAAUCUGUGAAUGCCAACAUCAUCCUGAACAUGGAUGCCAAGGAAAAGAAAGAAGGACAGGGCACGCCCAAAUCCCUCCAUCUUGGAAUCCCUGACCCCCAUGUACAGAAUUUCAAACCCCCCUGUACAACAUACAAAACCCCCCUGUACAGUGCUCCAAAAUUUUUCCCUUCCCCCUGUGAUUGCUAUUAUGCUACUUAAACUUUUGUGGCCUGUAAUUCUUCAUAUAAGGUUGGCAAUUUGCUCCAUGAAUUAAGAUUGAAUUUCCAGGUGUCUUUGGCUUCCUGCCAGGGUCUCCGAGCCCCUGCCAGGGCUUUGAGACAUCCAGGGCAUCCAGAGAGAUGUCCUGGGUUCUGACAUAAGGGGACCAAGAGAACUGAGGAACUGAAGAAAGAUAAGAAGAGAACUUCACAGCUGCACAAAGUAUUUUUAGAAAGUUACUUAAGUCACUGUAACUUUUCACCAAUGGUGUUAUGUUGAUUUAUUGUGUCCAAUAGUUAGGGUAGAAGAAGCAUAAACAAUUAGAAAGUGUAUAAAAGGUCAGCCAUGUUCAGUAAUAAAGAGUUGCCAUCUGA
Molecule: long non-coding RNA, 1771 nt
Organism: Passer domesticus (house sparrow)
Lineage: Eukaryota; Metazoa; Chordata; Aves; Passeriformes; Passeridae
Exons: 3
Source: RefSeq, a predicted model, not a curated record